UCCCUGGUGGCUCAGACGGUAAAGCGUCUGCUCGCAAUGCAGGAGACUCGGGUUCAACCCCUGGGUUGGGAA
This is a transfer RNA of Ovis aries (sheep), 72 nucleotides long. It matches the Rfam family "tRNA". From Rfam's summary of the family: Transfer RNA (tRNA) molecules are approximately 80 nucleotides in length. Their secondary structure includes four short double-helical elements and three loops (D, anti-codon, and T loops). Further hydrogen bonds mediate the characteristic L-shaped molecular structure. tRNAs have two regions of fundamental functional importance: the anti-codon, which is responsible for specific mRNA codon recognition, and the 3' end, to which the tRNAs corresponding amino acid is attached (by aminoacyl-tRNA synthetases). tRNAs cope with the degeneracy of the genetic code in two manners: having more than one tRNA (with a specific anti-codon) for a particular amino acid; and 'wobble' base-pairing, i.e. permitting non-standard base-pairing at the 3rd anti-codon position. Lineage: Eukaryota; Metazoa; Chordata; Mammalia; Artiodactyla; Bovidae. The record is from Rfam.